Long non-coding RNA from Coregonus clupeaformis (lake whitefish), 703 nucleotides. RefSeq lists it as uncharacterized. Lineage: Eukaryota; Metazoa; Chordata; Actinopteri; Salmoniformes; Salmonidae. The transcript has 2 exons. The record is from RefSeq and is a predicted model, not a curated record.
GCUCUAACAUCAAACAGCAACUUUUACUCAAAUAACUUAUGUAUGGCAACUUUUAUGUCACACCACCAUUUAUUUUUAUUCUGAUGAUGAUCAGACAUAAUUAACUGUCUGUUCACUCAUGCUUGGUCACUUAUGUAAGUUCCUCUAAUCAGUUAGUGAACACUUCUCUAAACUAAAGCUGGUAGGAUUCCUCUGGUAGUGUUUUCUGUCUGUGACUUUACCACAACUGUUAAAUCUGAGAUCAACAUCUUUAAUAAAGGAAUAUACAACAUGGAUCACUAUCAGUACAGCUGCUGCUGUUGUCUUUCAUAUGGACAAUAUGGAGGAAUACUAGCAACACUGGAUCUAAUGCUGGACUGUACCUACAGACUAGGAGAACAUCUGAUACACAGAGGAAGGAAAAAAUACUAAUAUCUGGUUUUAAGAUACAAAUCUUAUUUGUAUUAUCUAGAAACAGCUUAUAUAAAGUGUUUGUUCUACCUGGAAGAUGUUAAAGUGUAUUUGUGUUGAUUAUGAUUCUGUAUGAGUGAUCUUCACUGUAACAGCUGCAGCAUCACAACACAGAGAGGUUUUUGUACGAGCAGUAACAGGGAUUGUAUCACUGUGGGACACUUUUGGUAGCGGCACCAGACUAGAUGUUGGAAGUAACAGUUCCCCCACCCUCACCGUCCUGCCCCCCUCUAGUGAGGAACUGUCCAGUACA